This is a transfer RNA of Dichanthelium oligosanthes, 72 nucleotides long. It matches the Rfam family "tRNA". From Rfam's summary of the family: Transfer RNA (tRNA) molecules are approximately 80 nucleotides in length. Their secondary structure includes four short double-helical elements and three loops (D, anti-codon, and T loops). Further hydrogen bonds mediate the characteristic L-shaped molecular structure. tRNAs have two regions of fundamental functional importance: the anti-codon, which is responsible for specific mRNA codon recognition, and the 3' end, to which the tRNAs corresponding amino acid is attached (by aminoacyl-tRNA synthetases). tRNAs cope with the degeneracy of the genetic code in two manners: having more than one tRNA (with a specific anti-codon) for a particular amino acid; and 'wobble' base-pairing, i.e. permitting non-standard base-pairing at the 3rd anti-codon position. Lineage: Eukaryota; Viridiplantae; Streptophyta; Magnoliopsida; Poales; Poaceae. The record is from Rfam.
GGGCAUUUGGUCUAGUGGUAUGAUUCUCGCUUAGGGUGCGAGAAGUCCUGAGUUCAAUUUUCGGAAUGCCCC